Molecule: ribosomal RNA, 679 nt
Filed under: Clostridioides difficile
Lineage: Bacteria; Bacillati; Bacillota; Clostridia; Peptostreptococcales; Peptostreptococcaceae
Description: bacterial SSU rRNA
Rfam family: Bacterial small subunit ribosomal RNA
Source: RNAcentral
AGUUGCGAAGGCGGCUCUCUGGACUGUAACUGACGCUGAGGCACGAAAGCGUGGGGAGCAAACAGGAUUAGAUACCCUGGUAGUCCACGCUGUAAACGAUGAGUACUAGGUGUCGGGGGUUACCCCCUUCGGUGCCGCAGCUAACGCAUUAAGUACUCCGCCUGGGAAGUACGCUCGCAAGAGGGAAACUCAAAGGAAUUGACGGGGACCCGCACAAGUAGCGGAGCAUGUGGUUUAAUUCGAAGCAACGCGAAGACCCUUACCUAAGCUUGACAUCCCAAUGACAUCUCCUUAAUCGGAGAGUUCCCUUCGGGGACAUUGGUGACAGGUGGUGCAUGGUUGUCGUCAGCUCGUGUCGUGAGAUGUUGGGUUAAGUCCCGCAACGAGCGCAACCCUUGUCUUUAGUUGCCAUCAUUAAGUUGGGCACUCUAGAGAGACUGCCAGGGAUAACCUGGAGGAAGGUGGGGAUGACGUCAAAUCAUCAUGCCCCUUAUGCUUAGGGCUACACACGUGCUACAAUGGGUAGUACAGAGGGUUGCCAAGCCGUAAGGUGGAGCUAAUCCCUUAAAGCUACUCUCAGUUCGGAUUGUAGGCUGAAACUCGCCUACAUGAAGCUGGAGUUACUAGUAAUCGCAGAUCAGAAUGCUGCGGUGAAUGCGUUCCCGGGUCUUGUACACAC